GGGCCCGCACAAGCGGUGGAGCAUGUGGCUUAAUUCGAUGCAACGCGAGGAACCUUACCUGGGCUAAAUCCACAGUGAUGUCUUCUGGAAACAGGAGGUCCCUUAGGGGCACUAUGGAAGGUGCUGCAUGGCUGUCGUCAGCUCGUGCCGUGAGGUGUUGGGUUAAGUCCCGCAACGAGCGCAACCCCCUGUGGUUAGUUUACCAGCACGUAAAGGUGGGGGACUCUAGCCAGACUGCCUACGCAAGUAGUGAGGAAGGUGGGGACGACGUCAAGUCAUCAUGGCCCUUACGUCCAGGGCUGCACACGUGCUACAAUGGUCGGUACAAUGGGUCGCCACCCAGCGAUGGGGCG
Molecule: ribosomal RNA, 353 nt
Filed under: uncultured bacterium
Lineage: Bacteria
Description: bacterial SSU rRNA
Rfam family: Bacterial small subunit ribosomal RNA
Source: RNAcentral